This 209-nucleotide unclassified non-coding RNA is filed under the name Ascomycota sp. RNAcentral's name for it is "partial contains small subunit ribosomal RNA, internal transcribed spacer 1, and 5.8S ribosomal RNA". The stretch from base 1 to 47 matches the Rfam family "Eukaryotic small subunit ribosomal RNA", at positions 1785 to 1831 of the family's 1831-position model. The record is from RNAcentral. Lineage: Eukaryota; Fungi; Ascomycota.
AAAGUCGUAACAAGGUCUCCGUAGGUGAACCUGCGGAGGGAUCAUUGACGAAUGGCCUCCGUGCCUUCGAAACCCCUUCAACCUCGUGGAACAGAGCCAGAUGUGCUUCGGCGCCCACAUCGGGCGCCGCCUUCAUGCCGUAUCUAAAGCCUUAUGUCCGAGCAACUUGAAAAGAAUCAAAACUUUCAACAAAGGAUCUCUUGGCUCUC